GCAUAUCAAUAAGCGGAGGAAAAGAAACUAACAAGGAUUCCCCUAGUAACGGCGAGUGAAGCGGGAACAGCUCAAAUUUUAAAUCUGGCUGCUUUGUAGUCCGAGUUGUAAUUUGAAGGAGUCUUGCCGCUGGCAAAACGAUGGCACAAGUCCUCUGGAACGGGGCAUCGUAGAGGGUGAGAAUCCCGUCUCUGGUCAUCACGCGCUGGCAUACGGCAGGCAUCCGAAGAGUCGAGUUGUUUGGGAUUGCAGCUCCAAAUGGGUGGUAAACUCCAUCUAAGGCUAAAUAUUGGCGAGAGACCGAUAGCGAACAAGUACCGUGAGGGAAAGAUGAAAAGAACUUUGAAAAGAGAGUAAAACAGUACGUGAAAUUGUUGAAAGGGAAACGAUUGAAGUCAGUCAUGCCGGCGUUGGAUUCAGCUUGCUUCGCGGAGCUUGCGCAUUUCCUCGCAUGGCAGGUCAGCGUCAGUUUUGCGCGGCGUGAAAAGGCUCGGGUAAGGUAGCUCUCUUCGGGGAGUGUUAUAGACCUGGGCAAAUGCGCGGCGCGGGACUGAGGAUUGCAGCGGACACCUCUUCGGAGGCGCGGCGACCGAACCCUGCUCGGCCACCCUCGUUCGAUAGCGUGCUAACGGACGCGGGAGCGGCGGUGCACCGGAACAGGCAAGCCAGCGGUUCGCUUAGAUGCUGACGUAAUGGCUUUAAACGAC
This 707-nucleotide ribosomal RNA is filed under the name uncultured Paraglomus. Its description in RNAcentral is "eukaryotic LSU rRNA". It matches the Rfam family "Eukaryotic large subunit ribosomal RNA", at positions 38 to 648 of the family's 3401-position model. The record is from RNAcentral. Lineage: Eukaryota; Fungi; Glomeromycota; Glomeromycetes; Paraglomerales; Paraglomeraceae.